This 971-nucleotide ribosomal RNA is filed under the name gut metagenome. RNAcentral's name for it is "bacterial SSU rRNA". It matches the Rfam family "Bacterial small subunit ribosomal RNA", at positions 8 to 973 of the family's 1533-position model. The record is from RNAcentral.
AGAGUUUGAUCCUGGCUCAGGAUGAACGCUAGCGGCAGGCUUAACACAUGCAAGUCGAGGGGCAGCAUAAUGGAUAGCAAUAUCUAUGGUGGCGACCGGCGCACGGGUGCGUAACGCGUAUGCAACCUACCUUUAACAGGGGGAUAACACUGAGAAAUUGGUACUAAUACCCCAUAAUAUCAUAGAAGGCAUCUUUUAUGGUUGAAAAUUCCGAUGGUUAGAGAUGGGCAUGCGUUGUAUUAGCUAGUUGGUGGGGUAACGGCUCACCAAGGCGACGAUACAUAGGGGGACUGAGAGGUUAACCCCCCACACUGGUACUGAGACACGGACCAGACUCCUACGGGAGGCAGCAGUGAGGAAUAUUGGUCAAUGGACGCAAGUCUGAACCAGCCAUGCCGCGUGCAGGAUGACGGCUCUAUGAGUUGUAAACUGCUUUUGUACGAGGGUAAACGCAGAUACGUGUAUCUGUCUGAAAGUAUCGUACGAAUAAGGAUCGGCUAACUCCGUGCCAGCAGCCGCGGUAAUACGGAGGAUUCAAGCGUUAUCCGGAUUUAUUGGGUUUAAAGGGUGCGUAGGCGGUUUGAUAAGUUAGAGGUGAAAUUUCGGGGCUCAACCCUGAACGUGCCUCUAAUACUGUUGAGCUAGAGAGUAGUUGCGGUAGGCGGAAUGUAUGGUGUAGCGGUGAAAUGCUUAGAGAUCAUACAGAACACCGAUUGCGAAGGCAGCUUACCAAACUAUAUCUGACGUUGAGGCACGAAAGCGUGGGGAGCAAACAGGAUUAGAUACCCUGGUAGUCCACGCAGUAAACGAUGAUAACUCGUUGUCGGCGAUACACAGUCGGUGACUAAGCGAAAGCGAUAAGUUAUCCACCUGGGGAGUACGUUCGCAAGAAUGAAACUCAAAGGAAUUGACGGGGGCCCGCACAAGCGGAGGAACAUGUGGUUUAAUUCGAUGAUACGCGAGGAACCUUA